CGUUUAUUUGAUAGUACCUCACUACAUGGAUAACCGUGGUAAUUCUAGAGCUAAUACAUGCUAAAAACCCCGACUCACGAAGGGGUGUAUUUAUUAGAUAAAAAACCAAUGCCCUUCGGGGCUCCUUGGUGAAUCAUGAUAACUUAACGAAUCGCAUGGCCUUGCGCCGGCGAUGGUUCAUUCAAAUUUCUGCCCUAUCAACUUUCGAUGGUAGGAUAGUGGCCUACCAUGGUCUCAACGGGUAACGGGGAAUUAGGGUUCGACUCCGGAGAGGGAGCCUGAGAAACGGCUACCACAUCCAAGGAAGGCAGCAGGCGCGCAAAUUACCCCAAUCCCGACACGGGGAGGUAGUGACAAUAAAUACUGAUACAGGGCUCUUUUGGGUCUUGUAAUUGGAAUGAGUACAAUUUAAAUCCCUUAACGAGGAACAAUUGGAGGGCAAGUCUGGUGCCAGCAGCCGCGGUAAUUCCAGCUCCAAUAGCGUAUAUUAAAGUUGUUGCAGUUAAAAAGCUCGUAGUUGAACCUUGGGCCUGGCUGGCCGGUCCGCCUCACCGCGUGUACUGGUCCGGCCGGGCCUUUCCUUCUGGGGAGCCGCAUGCCCUUCACUGGGCGUGUCGGGGAACCAGGACUUUUACUUUGAAAAAAUUAGAGUGUUCAAAGCAGGCCUUUGCUCGAAUACAUUAGCAUGGAAUAAUAGAAUAGGACGUGUGGUUCUAUUUUGUUGGUUUCUAGGACCGCCGUAAUGAUUAAUAGGGAUAGUCGGGGCCGUCCGUAUUCAAUUGUCAGAGGUGAAAUUCUUGGAUUUAUUGAAGACGAACUACUGCGAAAGCAUUCGGCAAGGAUGUUUUCAUUAAUCAGUGAACGAAAGUUAGGGGAUCGAAGACGAUCAGAUACCGUCGUAGUCUUAACCAUAAACUAUGCCGACUAGGGAUCGGUGGGUGUUAUUAUUUUGACCUCAUCGGCACCUUACGAGAAAUCAAAGUUUUUGGGUUCUGGGGGGAGUAUGGUCGCAAGGCUGAAACUUAAAGAAAUUGACGGAAGGGCACCACCAGGCGUGGAGCCUGCGGCUUAAUUUGACUCAACACGGGGAAACUCACCAGGUCCAGACACAAGUAGGAUUGACAGAUUGAGAGC
Molecule: ribosomal RNA, 1134 nt
Filed under: Ramichloridium sp.
Lineage: Eukaryota; Fungi; Ascomycota; Dothideomycetes; Mycosphaerellales; Dissoconiaceae
Description: SSU rRNA
Rfam family: Eukaryotic small subunit ribosomal RNA
Source: RNAcentral